AGGAGCUUGCUCCUUUGACGUUAGCGGCGGACGAGUGAGUAACACGUGGAUAACCUACCUAUAAGACUGGGAUAACUUCGGGAAACCGGAGCUAAUACCGGAUAAGAUUUUGAACCGCAUGGUUCAAUAGUGAAAGACGGCCUUGCUGUCACUUAUAGAUGGAUCCGCGCCGUAUUAGCUAGUUGGUAAGGUAACGGCUUACCAAGGCAACGAUACGUAGCCGACCUGAGAGGGUGAUCGGCCACACUGGAACUGAGACACGGUCCAGACUCCUACGGGAGGCAGCAGUAGGGAAUCUUCCGCAAUGGGCGAAAGCCUGACGGAGCAACGCCGCGUGAGUGAUGAAGGUCUUCGGAUCGUAAAACUCUGUUAUCAGGGAAGAACAAACGUGUAAGUAACUGUGCACGUCUUGACGGUACCUGAUCAGAAAGCCACGGCUAACUACGUGCCAGCAGCCGCGGUAAUACGUAGGUGGCAAGCGUUAUCCGGAAUUAUUGGGCGUAAAGCGCGCGUAGGCGGUUUUUUAAGUCUGAUGUGAAAGCCCACGGCUCAACCGUGGAGGGUCAUUGGAAACUGGAAAACUUGAGUGCAGAAGAGGAAAGUGGAAUUCCAUGUGUAGCGGUGAAAUGCGCAGAGAUAUGGAGGAACACCAGUGGCGAAGGCGACUUUCUGGUCUGUAACUGACGCUGAUGUGCGAAAGCGUGGGGAUCAAACAGGAUUAGAUACCCUGGUAGUCCACGCCGUAAACGAUGAGUGCUAAGUGUUAGGGGGUUUCCGCCCCUUAGUGCUGCAGCUAACGCAUUAAGCACUCCGCCUGGGGAGUACGACCGCAAGGUUGAAACUCAAAGGAAU
This 852-nucleotide ribosomal RNA is filed under the name Staphylococcus pasteuri. RNAcentral describes it as "bacterial SSU rRNA". It matches the Rfam family "Bacterial small subunit ribosomal RNA", at positions 74 to 910 of the family's 1533-position model. Lineage: Bacteria; Bacillati; Bacillota; Bacilli; Caryophanales; Staphylococcaceae. The record is from RNAcentral.